CUACCAUGCAAGUCGAGCGAUGAAACCCCUUCGGGGGUGGAUUAGCGGCGGACGGGUGAGUAACACGUGGGUAACCUGCCUCAAAGUGGGGGAUAGCCUUCCGAAAGGAAGAUUAAUACCGCAUAAAGCCAAGUUUCACAUGGAAUUUGGAUGAAAGGAGUAAUUCGCUUUGAGAUGGACCCGCGGCGCAUUAGUUAGUUGGUGGGGUAAUGGCCUACCAAGACAGCGAUGCGUAGCCGACCUGAGAGGGUGAUCGGCCACAUUGGAACUGAGAUACGGUCCAGACUCCUACGGGAGGCAGCAGUGGGGAAUAUUGCACAAUGGGCGAAAGCCUGAUGCAGCAACGCCGCGUGAGUGAUGAAGGUCUUCGGAUUGUAAAGUUCUGUCUUUUGGGACGAUAAUGACGGUACCAAAGGAGGAAGCCACGGCUAACUACGUGCCAGCAGCCGCGGUAAUACGUAGGUGGCGAGCGUUGUCCGGAUUUACUGGGCGUAAAGGGUGCGUAGGCGGAUGUUUAAGUGAGAUGUGAAAUACCCGGGCUUAACUUGGGUGCUGCAUUUCAAACUGGAUAUCUAGAGUGCAGGAGAGGAGAAUGGAAUUCCUAGUGUAGCGGUGAAAUGCGUAGAGAUUAGGAAGAACACCAGUGGCGAAGGCGAUUCUCUGGACUGUAACUGACGCUGAGGCACGAAAGCGUGGGUAGCAGACAGGAUUAGAUACCCUGGUAGUCCACGCCGUAA
RNAcentral lists this ribosomal RNA (737 nucleotides) under uncultured bacterium. RNAcentral's name for it is "bacterial SSU rRNA". It matches the Rfam family "Bacterial small subunit ribosomal RNA", at positions 49 to 805 of the family's 1533-position model. The record is from RNAcentral.